GAUGAACGCUAGCUACAGGCUUAACACAUGCAAGUCGAGGGACCGGCGCACGGGUGAGUAACACGUAUACAACCUGCCCUUUACUCGGGGAUAGCCUUUCGAAAGAAAGAUUAAUACCCGAUGUAAAGGAUGGGGAUGCGUUACAUUAGGUUGUUGGGAAGGUAACGGCGCACCAAGCCUUCGAUGGAUAGGGGUUCUGAGAGGAAGGUCCACCACAUGGGAACUGAGACACGGUCCAAACGCCGACGGAAGGCAGGAGUGAGGAAUAUUGGUCAAUGGGCGUUAGCCUGAACCAGCCAAGUAGCGUGAAGGAUGAAGGCUUAUGGGUCGUAAACUUCUUUUAUAUAAGAAUAUGUAUUAUAUGAAUAAGGAUCGGCUAACUCCGUGCCAGCAGCCGCGGUAAUAC
This 406-nucleotide ribosomal RNA is filed under the name uncultured bacterium. RNAcentral describes it as "partial 16S ribosomal RNA". It matches the Rfam family "Bacterial small subunit ribosomal RNA", at positions 28 to 526 of the family's 1533-position model. The record is from RNAcentral.